GAUGAACGCUGGCGGCGUGCCUAAUACAUGCAAGUCGAGCGAACGGACGAGAAGCUUGCUUCUCUGAUGUUAGCGGCGGACGGGUGAGUAACACGUGGAUAACCUACCUAUAAGACUUGGAUAACUUCGGGAAACCGUAGCUAAGACCGGAUAAUAUUUUGAACCGCAUGGUUCAAAAGUGAAAGACGGUCUUGCUGUCACUUAUAGAUGGAUCCGCGCUGCAUUAGCUAGUUGGUAAGGUAACGGCUUACCAAGGCAACGAUGCAUAGCCGACCUGAGAGGGUGAUCGGCCAAACUGGAACUGAGACACGGUCCAGACUCCUACGGGAGGAAGCAGAAGGGCAUCUUCCGCAAUGGGCGAAAGCCUGACGGAGCAACGCAGCGUGAGUGAUGAAGGUCUACGGAUCGUAAAACUCUGUUAUUAGGGAAGAACAUAUGUGUAAGUAACUGUGCACAUCUUGACGGUACCUAAUCAGAAAGCCACGGCUAACUACGUG
This 497-nucleotide ribosomal RNA is filed under the name uncultured bacterium. Its description in RNAcentral is "partial 16S ribosomal RNA". It matches the Rfam family "Bacterial small subunit ribosomal RNA", at positions 28 to 507 of the family's 1533-position model. The record is from RNAcentral.